AUGGGGGAACUACAAUACCCAGAAUGCUGCGUGCUGCAGGCCGCCCCUUGCUGACUUAGUGGCUGCAACCCGAAGCUUCAGACUACAGGAGGGGUUCCCUACCACGGCGGGAUUCUUUCCUUGACUGCAGGACACCCAGGCAACUUUCACAGGCACAAGGAGCCACCAGAACACAAAAAGCAGUUGCUUAAUGUCUUUGGUAACUUUCCUUCUGAGUGUUGGAGCAGAAGGGACUUCCUGAUCAAACCAGCCUGGAAUAGAGGUGGCUGCCACGUUGAGCAACCUGGAGAAACAGCCAAAUGACCUUAACGACCCACCACAAAAGCCGACCUCUGUCAACCGUAACACUCGGCUUUAAAGGCCGACUGCCUCGUGGCUUCUCUAACAUCUCACUUGCUUACCCGCCCCACCCUGUGGAUCUGGAGUAUAAACUGAAGAUGCAAGCUGGACCCAGUACCGGAGCCUUUCAGGAGUGCCCUGGCUUCAGUCCACCAGUGAGAUCUCUCUUCCACUCUCACUGGUCUCCGAGUGCUUAUUCCAGAAAGAGUCUACAACAAAGUCUCUCCUGAGAUCUUGAAUGGGCAAAUAACUUGGUUUUGGACUGGCGGACAGGAACUUUGGCAUGAGCAGGUACAUUUCGGGUUGGUUUACUGAAGCUGAAUGCAGGUGUUCAGUCCAAUGGAAUGGCCGUCUAAUAUGUUUUACUUGACAGUCCUGUCUUAGGUUUACUGCUGUGAAGAGACACAUGACCAUAAUAACUCUUUUAAAAGAAAACAUUUAAUAAGGGCUGUGGUACAGUUCAGAGGUUUAUUUCAUGCUCAUGGUGAUGGGAAGCAUUAUGGCCCUCAGGAGGCAGGGAAACGCUGGGCCUGUCCUGAGCAUUUGAAACCUCAAAGCCCACCCUCUAGUGACACACUUCCUCCAACAAGGCCACACCCACUCCAACAAGGCCACACCUCCCAAUAAUGCCUCUCCCUAUCGGCCAUUUUCAUUCAAACCACCACAAAUUUCAAGAUCACAAACAGAACAAAACAUCACUAAAACACAUACGUUCUAAAGGUAAGAACAUCACAACUUGCUCCAUCCCUGGUUUAUAAAUUCUGAAAUCCCUCUCAGUGCCAUCUAUGACCAACCCUGCCUCCAGAGCUACCCUGAUAAUCCUCUACUGUCCUGAGACUCCAAUUCUUUCCUCCUCUUGGGAUGACAAAGCAACUGAAGGGGGAAAGCAUUUGUGUCAGCUCACAGUUCAAAGUACAGACGGUCACACUAGGAAGACGGGAGCAGGAAUUUCAAGUUAGCUUAUCAUAUUGCAUAUAAAAUUAGGAAUGGGAAAGGAUGAAUACAAAAUUAGGGCUGACUUUAUUUCUCCAUUUAGUGCAGCCAGAAUCCCCUGUCCAGGAGAUGAUCCCACCCUCGUUAACUAAUGAAGUAAAGAUACAGGGUAAGCAGGGUGGGCGCCUUUAAUCCCAGCACUCAGGAGGCAGAGCAGAUGAUGUCCAGAAGUUUAAAGCCAGCCUGGCACCCCAAGUGAGCGCCAUGCGUUUGUCAGAGAUAGGAAGUGGAACAGGGCGUUAAGUGCUGAGAGUCACGGGGCAUUUGUGAGAGUGAUGGAAACGGUAUGAUUGUGGCAGUGGCUACAUAACUGUGUACAUUUGCCAAAAUUAAUCAAAUUGUACACCUAAAAUAUCAAGUUUGUUGCAUGCAGGCUAUAUCUAAAAAACUGAUUUUUUUCUUAAUUUAAAAAAUUAUAGCGGCACAUGCCUUUGGGCCCAACAGAUCCAUUUAUGAGACUACCAUGAGCUGGAGAGGUAGAUCCGUGGGUAAGAGCACUUACGGCACAAAUGUGAAGACCUGAGUUCAAAUUCACAGCAUCCUGGAUAUGGCUACACUUGCCUAUAUCCCUAGCAAAGACUGGAGGGCUUGUUGGCUCACAGCUUAGUUCCGAUUUCCCUGAGAAACCUUGUUUUAAAGAAAUAAAACAAAGGGUGAUAGAAUGGUACACUGAACUCCUGUGGCCUCCAUGAGUGUAUACACAGGCACAUAUACACACGUGUAUGUACACACACACACACACACACACAAACGCACGCACGCACGCACGCACACAACUAUUCUACAGAUAGGCCUCCCCAUGUAAAGACAGCAUUCAGUGGCUUCUCACAGCUCUGCGUGUGAUGCUUCACUAACAGGAAACUCGGCAGUUAGGGAUGGGGCUGCAAGAGGGACUUGUCACAUGCAGGUAUUUAUCAGUAAAAGCAAAGAAAUAUGUUAGGUGAUCAGAUGGUCUAGGUGAGAGAUGUUUGUGUCCUCUCGGGGAGGGCAUGUAUAUCUUUCGUCCUCUUAGCUGAUGCCUCCACAUUCCUACACCCUUCUCACUUGCAAGUCAUGGCACUGUAGAUACUUUUGCUCCUGAGAAUUUGCACCUUUCGUCUUAAUUCUAAGUUAAAAGGACACAACCACAAAAAGGAAGUUUCCUAGCAGGCAGAAGACCAGGCAGGCACACAGUGGCUUCUGGAUGCUAUUUGACUAAAUAGCCACCAGAUGGCAGCAUGGCUCUGUUCGCAGGCCAAUCCACGACUACAUCUGUCCAAUGAGGAAACCAUUAGCCACAUAAAGGGCGGUUGAGCACUUGAAAUGGGGCUAUUUCUAAUUAAGGUUGUUUUCCACAUAAGACGCGCAUGAUGUUUUGAAAGCAGUAUUAAAAGGGAGCCUAAUACAUCUAAUUAGUGCUUAGCAUUGAUUAUAUGUGGAAAGUAAUCUUGUAUAUACGCAGUUAAAAUUAUUUUCACCUGCUUUCUUUGUACUUUUUGCAAAAGUAAAAAAAAAUGCAAUUAUCAGGAAAUUUAAAUUUACACAUGAUUAUAUAUAUGGAGAGCGCUUCACAAGACCGUCCAUAAACUCUCACAGCAGUAUCAACAUGGAGCCAAAAAGGCAACAUUCCUCCUCUCAGUCCAAAAUGGCAGACUUGUAAAUGUCAUAGAACUCCUUCACCACCCUAGCAGAGCCAGCCUGAAGGAGUAGGUCACACCAAGACCCUGAAAGUAACCAGGGAGCCUCUGGCUGUCCUAGCUAUUUCUUCUUUCGGCUGGGUACAUGAGGCAGCUCCCAUCGGAAGCUGACAGUACCAGCUGUCAGGGUACUUGCCUGUUUCUCUCACUGGUCCUCCAAUCAGUGUAAUUACAGUGAUGAAUAGUCAGAUGAAGUGUCACACGCCUUUAAUCCCAGCUCUCAGGAGGCAAAUACAGUCGAAUCUCUUUAAGUUUGAGGGCAGCCUGGUCUACAUAGUGAGUUCAAGGACAACUAUAGCUAUGUAGUGAGACCCUGCCUUGGGGGGGGGGGGGGAGGAAGGAAGGUGGAUGAAGAGUAGGUUAGUACUAGAAGUCACGUGACUAUCUGUACCUCUUGUUUCUUACACUUUCUCACACAGCCAUCCGCAUUGAGGCCUUACAGGGGUAAAAGGAAGUGUCUUUGAAUAUGCCUCCAAUCCCACGGGAGAUCUGAACCAGUGGUCAUCUGUUCUCUGGCUGCUAGGCAAGAGGUUAGUGCCCUGAGGAUAAGACGUGAAGAACACUGAAUGGGCUAGCUCAAGGCCAGCUAUGAUCCAGAUGAGCCUGCUCAAGGACCCCAAAAUAGAUUUAAGAGCUACUAGGUUUCGAAAGCUUAUGCCAUUCCCAGUGAACCGUGUCUCAUGAAGGUGUCAGCUCUCAGCUACAGCCCCAGCACCAUGCCUGCCUGCCGUCGUGCUCCCACCAUGAUGGUCAUGGACUUUCCCUUUCUUAUCUAAGUUGUCUUGCUUGGUCUCAGUGCUUUGUCACAGCAGUAGAAAAGUAAGGCAGACUACUUGCAUUUAUUUUUAUCAUCAAAAUUUUUGUUUUACUAUAAAGUGUCCAUGCUUCAAUUAAUGUCUAUAUGUUUUGUAGGUAGUAUACUUAAAGACCUUCCUGAGGUUUCUUUUUUUUUUUCUUUUCCAGAUAAUUCACUGUUAGUCUCUACCAAAGCUAUCAAUUUUUCUAUAUUGACUUUCUAACCUUUCUUUAACAGAAUACUUGGGGGUGUCUUAUCUAGAGCAUACUUGUCAUCUUCCAAUAAGCUGAGGACUGAACCCAGGGCCUUGUGCUUUCUAGGCAAGUGCUUUACCACUGAACUAAAUCCCCAACCCCUAGAUUUCAACUUUUAAAGAAAAUUUGUUGGCAAUCUGUCUUGUGGUGUACCAUGUAACUACUCUGGAGAAUGUUGCACGUUUUAAUGAGAAUGUGUACUCAGCAGCCAUUGGAUGAAACAUUCUGUAAAUGUGUUGUCUGCUUUGGAAUGGUUUAACACUGCUCUUUGAUAAGUUUUGGUCUGGGUGAUCUAGAUUAUUAAAAGUUCUAUCAUUUUAGUCAAUGUUUCUCUAAUACAUAUCUGGGUGUUCUGAAACUGAAUUCAUGUAUAUUCAAAGACAUAUUCAAGGUUAUUUUCUCUUGCCAAAUUGAUCCUUUUAUCACUUAUGAGGUUUGGUUGGUUGGUUAGUUAGGUUUUGUUUUUCAAGACAGGGUGUCUCUGUGUAGAGCUGGCUAUCCUACAACUUUCUCUGUAGACCAGGCUGUCCCCAAACUCAGUAUUCCACCUGCUCUGCCUCCCUAGUACUGGCACUAAAGAUAUGGGCCACCAGAACCCUUCAUGGCUUUCUUAAUUGUUGUGGUUUCUAUCUGAUGAAGUAGUUCUACUCUUGCCUUUAUGAUUCUAUUCAUAUGGGAUAUUUUUUUCACCCCUCCCUUUCCAGGGUCCUUAAGCAGUAUAUAGUUGAAUCUCGCUUUAACUAUUUAGUUGCUCUAUUUUAAUGGGAGAAAUUUACAUUACCCUCAAUUACCUUACACUGAGGUAAUUAUCAAAAAGUCAGACGCUACUAUUGGUAUUUUGUUUUCCAGUUUGAUAAUAGUUUCUAUUUCCCUUCCUCCCAUCUUUCUAUAGCCUUCCUUGUGAAGUGAUAUUACUAAGCAAAUUAUUUUAGAUUCCUUGCUUGGUGUGUGUGUGUGUGUGUGUGUGUGUGUGUGUGUGUGUGUGUGUGUGUACCAUAUUGUUAUUUUAUGGAUGUGGUUGAUAGAACUUUUAAAAUUAUAACCUACACUGAAAUUAUAGCAGUAUAAUAUUAAUUAUAAAAAUAUAGAAAGAUAGCAUCUUAAAAGUUCCUAGCCAUCAUGAUGGCUCAAUGGGUAAAGGCACUUGCUGCCAAGCCUGAUGACCUGAGUUCAAUUCCCAAGACAAGUUGCUCUGACCCCAACAUAUUAUCCAUGCACUCACACAAAAUUCUUAAUUUUUUUGAUCUCCUGUAUUCCAUGUGUGGGGGCACUUUUCUUCUCGUUUUAUGCUUAUUACCUAUUAAGUGUUAAUGUAUGAUCUUCUGCCUCCAUACUGUAACUAUGGUUUAUAUGCUGCCCGACUAGACCAUUUUGAAUGUCUGACAGACCCUUCUCGGUGAGGUUUGGGUCCUCUUCUUACUCUUUCAGGAUAGAGAACUUCUUUGGGGGAUGGGCUAGGAAUGGUGGUAACAAACUUUCUAAUUUGUACCUGGGAUUAUUUUCCUUUCAUUUAUAAGAGAGCUUUGCUAGGAUUAGUAUUCUUAAGCAUAGUCCUUAAUCAGACAUGGAUUUUGCAGACAAAUGACUGGAACUUAAGAAUAUCAUCCUGAGUGAGGUACACCAGUCCCAAAGGACAAGCAUGGUAAGUACUCACUUAUAAGUGGAUAUUAGCCAUAAAAUACUGAUACCCAUGUUACACUCUACAGUCUCAAAGGAACUAAACAAGAAGGAAGGCCCAAGCAAGGAAGUUUGAAUCUCAUUUAGAAGGGGGAAUAGUCAUAAGAGGCAGAUGGGGGCAGGGAACUGAGGGGUAUGGGGAGAGGAAUGGAGGAUUCAGAAUCAGGAGUGCAGAAGGACAGGAGAGAUGGCUAGAUGGUCUUGAAAAUGAAUGGAAAGCUGCAACUAACAUGGGUGAGGAGACAUCUCCAGGACAUGAGAGAGACCUGGAACAAGGGAGGUGCCCAAGAAUCAAUAGAGUGAUCUUAACUGUGACUCACCACACUGGGGAUAUGGAUUGGAACCUGAAGAGGUCACCUCCUGUAGCCAGAUAGGAACUCCCACGGAGCAACAGAGACACCAACCCACUCAUAUAACUUUUAACACAAAACUCAUCCUGUCUAUAAGAAAUGCAGUCACGGGAGAAGAGACUGGGGGGACUAGCCAAUCAAUAUCUGGCCCAACCUAAGACCCACCCCUUGGGCAAGCACCAAUCCCUAAUAGUUAUGCUUGCAGACAGGGGUAUAUUGUCCUGAGAGGCUCCACCCAGCAGCUAAGACAGAUACAGACACCCAUGGCCAAACAGUGAAUAGAGCUUGGGGACUCUUAUGGAAGAGGAAAGAUUACACACCCUGAAGGGGAUAGAACUCCACAUGAACAACAACAGUCACCUAACAAAGGACCCUUCAGGGCUCUGAGUCUGAACUACCAACUAAAGACCAUACACGACUGGACCUAGACUUCCCCAUUCAUAUGUAGCAGAUGUGAAGUUGAACUUCACGUGUGACCUGAACAACUGGAACUGGGGCUAUCCUAAAACCUGUUGCCUGUAUGUGGAAUAUAUUCUACCUGCUGGACUUCUAUCUGGCCUCAGUGGAAGAAGCACCACCUAGCAUCUCAGAGACGAAGUGGGAGAAAUACCCAGGGGUCCCCACCUACUCAAGAGGGGGAAAGGAAGGGGGGACAGAUUGUGGGAGGGGGAACCAGGUGGGCAGUGAGCAAGAUGUAAAGUGAAAAAACUAUACAAUUAAAAAAAAAAAGCCUGUAACCCAA
This is a non-coding RNA of Rattus norvegicus (Norway rat), 6827 nucleotides long. NCBI's taxonomy places the organism in Eukaryota, Metazoa, Chordata, Mammalia, Rodentia, Muridae. The record is from RefSeq and is a predicted model, not a curated record.